This 484-nucleotide ribosomal RNA is filed under the name uncultured bacterium. RNAcentral's name for it is "partial 16S ribosomal RNA". It matches the Rfam family "Bacterial small subunit ribosomal RNA", at positions 39 to 507 of the family's 1533-position model. The record is from RNAcentral.
GGGGGGGGGGGGGGGGAGGGGGGGCGGGGGGGGGUGGGGGUGCGGCGGGGGCGGCGGCGUGGCGGCGGGGGGCGACGGAGUUAGGAGUGCCUCGGAACGUGCCCAGGGGUGGUGGAUAUCCCGGCGAACCCCGGAUUAAUACCGCGUAAGCCCGAGGGGGCGAAGCUGGAGACCUGAAAGCCUCGCGCUAUUGGAGCGGCCGAUGUCGAAUUAGCUGGUUGGUGGGUUAAAGUCUUACCAGGCCGACUAUCCGUAGCUGAUCUAAGAGGACGAGCAGCCACACUGGGACUGAGACACGGCCCAGACUCCUACGGGAGGCAGCAGUGGGGAAUUUUGGACAAUGGGGGCAACCCUGAUCCAGCCAUGCCGCGUGCGGGAAGAAGGCCUUCGGGUUGUAAACCGCUUUUGUUCGGGAAGAAAUCCUCUGGGCUAAUACCCCGGGGGGAUGACGGUACCGGAAGAAUAAGCACCGGCUAACUACGUG